GAACUAUGCCUGAGUAGGAUGAAGCCGGAGGAAACUCUGGUGGAGGUCCGAAGCGUUUUUGACGUGCAAAUCAAUCGUCAGACUUGGGUAUAGGGGCGAAAGACUAAUCGAACCAUCUAGUAGCUGGUUCCCUUCGAAGUUUCCCCCAGGAAAGCUGGUGCCAUGUUUGACAGUUUUAUCUGGUAAAGCGAAUGAUUAGAGGCAUUGGGGACGAAUUGUCCUCGACCUAUUCUCAAACUUUAAAUGGGUAAUGUACCGUUGUACUUCUUGAUAUUCAUGAGUGCUCGGUCAAAUGCAAUGGCGCCAAGUGGGCCAUUUUUGGUAAGCAGAACUGGCGAUGUGGGAUGAACCAAACGUUGAGCUAGGAUGCCCAAAGUGCUUCUCAUGAGAUACCAUGAAAGGUGUCAGUCGAUAUUGACAGCAGGACGGUGGCCGCAGAAGUAGGAAUCCGCUAAGGAGUGUGUAACAACUCACCUGCCGAAUCGACUGGUCCUGAAAAUGGAUGGCGCUGGAGACGUAUAUCCAUGCUCGACCGUCAAUGCCAACGAAAGCGAUUGCUAUAUGGCUUGACGUGUAGAAGGGCGAUUGCCGUGGCGUCGAAACUUGCACCGUGAGGUGGGGUAGAGCUGCGGCAUGUGCAGAUCUUGGUGGUAGUAGCAAGUAUUCAAAUGAGAGCAUUGAAGACUGAAGUGGAGUAAGGUUCCAUGUGAACAGCAUUUGGACAUGGAUCAGCCGAUCCUAAGAGAACGUGUAAGUUCGUGAUUAAGCGCGUCGCCUUGUGCGUCGCAAUCGAAAGGGAAUCGGGUUAAUAUUCCCGAGCCAGGAUACGGAAUGUGCCUGAUUAAUCGGAAGUACCUUGUGUGCUUUCGACUUCAGGCAAAAGCGGCAACGCCAACAAACCCAGAGAUUAACUAUGCGGAGUCCGGGGAAGAGUUUUCUCUUCUUUGUAAGGGAUGUUAUCCCUGGAAACAGAUUGUCUGGCGAUAGGGUACGCAUCCCGUAAUGCAACGCGAUUCCUGCGAUGUACCGUGCGCUUCGUAUAGUGCUUGAAAAUCUGGGGGCGAGUUUGUUCAGGCCGUACCUGUUCGUACUGAUUUCCGCAGCAGGUCUCCAAGGUGAGCAGCCUCUAGUCGAUGGGACAAAGUAGACAAGGGAAGUCGGCAAAUUAGAUCCGUAACUUCGGAAAAAGGAUUGGCUCUAAAGGCUGAGUUGGUCGGGCGGUUGCGUUAAGCUGGGAGCGACGCUUUGACUCUGUCUCAGACUCCGUUCUCGCAAGGGAUGCGGAAUCGAGGACGGAACUUUGUCUACGCUCUCUGUGGACCGCGGUCGCUAUGCCACCCGUGCGGUAUCUAAACGUAAGUCUUGAGUCGUGCGACGUGGAUCCGAUCAGCGUUUAACAGCUGACCUAGAACUGGUAUGGACAAGGGGAAUCCAACUGUUUAAUUAAAACAAAGCAUUGCGAUAGCUGUAAUCGGUGUUGACGCGAUGUGAUUUCUGCCCAGUGCUCUGAAUGUUAAAGUGAAGGAACUCAUCCAAGCGCGAGUUAACGGCGGAAGUAACUAUGACUUUCUUAAGGUAGCCAAAUGCCUCGUCAUCUAAUUAGUGACGUGCAUGAAUGGAUUAUUGAGAUUCCUUCUGUCCCUGUCUGCAACCUAGCGAAACCACAGCCAAGGGAACGGGCUUGGAGAGUAACAGCGGGGAAAGAAGACCCUGUUGAGCUUGACUCUAGUCAGUCUUUGUGAAGAAACAUGAUGGGUGUAGAAUAGGUGGGAGGACGCGCCAGUGAAAUACCACUACUAUCAUCGUUUCUUUACUUACUCAAUUGAUCAGGGAGCGUGAAUUCGCUAUUUGCGAUGUAUGAUUAUUCCUUCAGUGGAAUAAGUGUCUGGUUUGAGAACACAGACUGAUUGGGAGUUUGACUGGGGCGGUACAUCUGUUAAAAUCUAACGCAGGUGUCCUAAGGCAAUCUCAGCGUGGACAGAAACCUCGCAUAGAGCGAAAGGGCAAAAGAUUGCUUGAUCUUGAUUUUCAGUACGAAUAAAGACAAUGAAAGUUUGGCUUGUCGAUCCUUUUGAAUUUUACGAGUUUUAAGCAAGAGGUGUCAGAAAAGUUACCACAGGGAUAACUGGCU
This 2131-nucleotide ribosomal RNA is filed under the name Neoechinorhynchus sp. KL2043.1. RNAcentral's name for it is "partial large subunit ribosomal RNA". It matches the Rfam family "Eukaryotic large subunit ribosomal RNA", at positions 828 to 2835 of the family's 3401-position model. The record is from RNAcentral. Lineage: Eukaryota; Metazoa; Acanthocephala; Eoacanthocephala; Neoechinorhynchida; Neoechinorhynchidae.